AGCUUAAAGUCCAUACCAAUACCUGUUACAUGUAGAUUUUUGGUAAAGAUGACUGGAUUCUGUAGGUGUCUUUGAGGAUCAGCUGUAUCAGAUGAAUGAAUCAAAAAUGUAUGGUGGCUGUAUCCCACACUAUUUUUGUCACUGAAGAUUGUGUAGGGCAUAGUAAUAGACUUAUGGCAAAUCAACUUUGCCCUAAGAUUGCAGAUUGCAGUUCAAUCUGGACAGAAAGCAGACCCGGACUGGAGCCUGUAGCUUGAGGCCUCAGCUGUUUAGGAGGUUCAGAAAGUGAGGCAAAGACAAAUACAGAGGCAGUCCAUCUGUCACAAGCAAUAUCCAGGUGGGUUUAUAGUUCAGUUAGUGUUUGUCCUUUGGGACGGAGUUGGACCUUGGAGCAACAAUCGUGGACUAGAAGUUGGGAGCCGUUGAGGGAGUUUGGGGCAGAAUCCUAGAAGACCUAAGGUACGUGUUGUCCACAAGAAUCUGGAUGUUCCCACAGUGUUCUCUGUUCCACCUUGAGAUUGCCUCUCAGUGGUAUAAAAACCACUAUGUAGUAGGAGUAGGUAGACUGAAUGCUGGGGGAAACCCAUGACUGGAAUUUAUACCCUGGCUAGACUUACUAGCUGGAACUCUGAUCAUUGCCUUUUCUUUGAUGUGAAUCACACUAAGUUGGAGAUGAUACAUGAGAACUGGGAGGAUAGUAGGAAUCACUCAGGCUGGCAUCCCCACAGGGAGAUGUAAACUGUCACUUCCCCCAAGUCACACAGCUCUCCGUCGGAUGCCUAUCCAGCAGUUCUCACCAUACUGCCUUCCCCAGAUAUCUCUGACAUGGCUUUCCAGGAGUCAGCCUUUCUUGACUAUGACAUUCCUGGUAUCUUGGAGGCCAUUACUUCCCUCACAGGCUGGCACAGACCCCACCAUGGGCCAUUGGUUGUCUUUCCUGCAUCUUCUCAUGUGAUGAAGCUGUUCCUCAAGGUGUCUGAAAAAGUAACUGGCCAACCUCUGAGGGUACGUGGUUACUAUCAGCAGAGGGCUCCCUGGUCCCAAAAGAGAUGGCUUGGAGAUGGUGGCAAUGACAUAAGAAACGACAUAACACCUGUGUCAUCCUUCCAGGACUCCACCCCAGGACAACUCUAUUUCUAUUUAACUAUUCAUUUUAGCCCCAAUCUGAGUUUUUGUCAUUACUACCCAGUGCCAAGAGUGUCAUGUUCCCUUUUCUACAUAGUGAAACCUGGCUUCCUUCUCACUAAAGAUGUUUUGCUAAAUUUUUGUUUUUGAUUUUUUUUUUUUUUUUUUAGGGCCACACCCAUGGCAUAUGGAGGUUUCUAGGCUACAAGUCAAAUUGGAGCUGUAGCUGCUGGCCUAUACCACAACCACAGCAAUGCCAGAUCUGAGCUGCAUCUAUGACCUACACCACAGCUCAUGGCAACACUGGACCCUUAACCCACUGAGAGAGGCCAGGUAUCUAACCUGCGUCCUCGUGUAUCCUAGUCAGAUUUGUUUCCACUACACCAUGAUGGGAACUCCUAGUUCAACUUUCCACCUUUAUAUGGACCCUAGGUAUCUCGGGUUUCCACCCUCUGCUGCAAGUAUGAAUCAAAACUCUGGUCAACUGGACCUCCUGGAGAAAUUCCCAGAGAAGAUCCUUGUUUUAGCAUUUGCUUCUUGGAACUUAAAUGUUCUUGAAUAUUAAGCACAGUGUGCUUGGCAGUUUAGCUCUGAACAUUAAAUAUGCCUAAUAUGUUAGGUGUUUGUGUCUUAUUUUUUCUAGAAUAUCUAGUCUUCAACAGCAGAAGUAGAUGUUACGAAGUAUUCAUCUCAUUCUGAUAGGCUUAUGGAAUGUCUGUUGCUUUACUCCUAAGUUACUUUCACAUUUUUGUGAGUUUCUUUAAUUAUCACCACAGACUAAACACCAUUUCCAACUCUGCUGAAAUUUAGUUUAAAUAGAUUCAUAAAACUCAUGUGAAUUUUACUAAUACACAGUCACUUAACAUUUUGCUAUCCUGUUCUGUUAGUGUCCUAUCUUGUGAGAAUCCACUUGUUCCCUUCGUUUUUCCUCCAAGGGAACUGAGUAAUAAGUGUAUUAUGCUGGUGUUAGAAGUCUCGUUAGUAUUAAUCAGGCCAGGUUUUGGUGGUGUAUCAGGCUGUAAUGGGCUGGGAAAUAUUAGAAUGUUCAUGAGUGCAAGAAAAUUGCACUGGCCAACUUUGAAAGGUGGAUAGAAGUCUUCGUUCUUGUGUUACAAAAGUGAGAGGUAAGGUCCUGUUCCCAUAGUAUAGGAGAAACCAUAUGAUGCUUACUUAAGAGAUGAAUUUUAUUGCAGGUAGUUGAUUUGGGAGAUAUGGGAAACCUGGAGAAUAGGGAAGUAAAAUACAUAAAGGAAGGCAUCCAGUGAUGGUGCAUUAUUCCAACAGCCACUGCUGGAAACAACCUAGGAAAACAGUGUAAGAUACACCUAAGAAUUCUCAUACCUCAGGUGCCAAAGGAUCUGGUAUACAUAUAUACACCAACCUCUCAGUUACUGAGGUGGGCUGAUGUAGAAGCUUCUAGCAGAUGAAUGCUCAAAGUAUUGAUAGUCAAGGAUACCUUCCUCCAAGGACAAACUCGGACAGUGACCCAAUGUGGUGAUGGUACACCAUGGUACCAUUGUCACCCUAGGCUGGACUAGCUAACAGGCUUUGAAGCCUUGUGUGGGGCUGCAAGAGACUAAGGUGAGCAUGGUGGUGGUGGACAGCUCUCCAUGCCAAAUCCAGCUUCCUUUCCUCUUAAGUCACAACUGUUAACUCCCCCAAUAAACCUUAUACAAGCAUAAAUUGCAGUAUCUGCUUCAGAAUAGCUCAGUGUGUAGUAACUUCCUUAUCUGCCCAGGUCCUGAUUAGACAGUUACUUUUCUACCUGAGGGGCUUCCUACAUAUGUGCAACCUUUAUCAUUGCUGGGAUCAUCAGGCACCCGGUUCUGGAUGGGUUGUUCAUGUUGCAUAGAUGGUUGGGUGUCAGGCUCUGCAAGGGCCCAGGAACAAUCCUGAAGUAAUUUUUAAGUGAGGUAUACCUGUUACACAGGAAGAGGACAUGUCUUGGGUUUGCCAGAGAGUCCACUGACAUCCUUGCUCUAAUAUACCACAAAUCCCAGUGGAUCUGCGGGGCAUGAGGCACAGGGAAGGGCAUCCCACCAGCUAGAGGAGCUGCAGAGCUUCUCUUGUUCUGAUCCCACUCCUGGCAGAUCACAUUAACUCAUACUAGCUCAGCAGUUUGGCAGAGCUUCUGUUGUCUUCCAGCUCCUAUAUUCUAGAUAUCAGCUGCUGAACAGUCAAUAUUUCAUUGUAAAUAGCCUUUUUUUUCCCCUGUGAAAAUUUAAGUUUCUCCUAUUAAACUUAGCAAAUUUUCUAGGAUAUGUGGAAGUAUUUCAUCAAUCCUUCCUGGAUUGCCCUUUCAAACCCUUAAGAUCAAGGAAACUUUCUUCUUUUACUCUUGAUCCAUAGGCAUCAAGGAAGGAAAAGGUCAAUGUACAUACAAAACUUCUUGGAUCUCCCCUCAAGCUUCUGCAUCUUUCAGUUUACUCUUAUCCUGUAUCAGACGAAAGCUUCCAGAAUCCAGCUUCCUGCAGUGGCUCCAUGUAAAAUCCCUAGGACAUGUGUUUGAAUAGGCAAAAGUCCUGUAUCCGCUGAUGUUCUUGUAUUAGAAACUGCACGUCUUCCUUCAAAAGACCAUUCAAAAGUUUAUAUUCUCUUCCAGCUGUUGGGGUCACUAGUAUACAGUGAGAUUUGUGAACCUGUGAUAACUUUGCCUGCAAAAUUUUCUGUUCCCCAGUCCUUGUUCUAGUUCUGUCUCAGGGAGCCAUUGACGUUUUCUCUGCUUGCAAGCUUAGGUUUUUUUCCUGCCUCAUCCCACUGUCCUAAAGUAUUUUUUUUUUUUUGAGCAGUGGUUCUCCAAUGAUUACUAUGCAAUGUCUUGCCAAUAGUACUAAACUUAUUCAUAGUUAAUCUCAGACUAGACAGUAAAGUGUCUAAAUACAAAUUUCCAACCAUCAGUGUCAGACUAAUUGAGCCAUUUUCACUUGAGCCUGCCUAACAAAUAGCCUUCCCCAAUCUGCCACAGACUUUAAUAACCUGGGGCCGAUGGCCAUGUUAAAAGAACGUUUUAAACAGUCUCAACUUGGAUUGGGGAUCAUGAUUCACCUAAAAUUGUAUCAUUCUUACUCUAGUCAACAGGAUCCCGGGAAGGUUUAGAGAAGUGAAUCCAUAGAUCUCGCAGUGAUGCCCAGGUCCAGCCUAAGUAGGUUGCAGGCCCACUUAUAGGUCAUGGCCUGAUCCUAGGAGUAGUCUGCCUCCUAGGCAUCCAGGCAGCUUUGUGUAGUAGUCUGGGGUAUGUGGGUAACUUCUGGCAUGAGGAAGCCUGAAUAUGGGAAAUUCUCCACAUGAUUGGUUUGCAAAGGUUUACCUUCCACUGUCUACCAACCUAGGCACGUGUGGCUUAGCAACUUCUGAUGCCAGUGUUGCUUUGGCUUGACAAAUCAAAGGAUCUUAUGGUUGAUUCUGAAUCAGAGCAAGUCAUGUAAAACAAGGAAUGAGACAGCAGCCAGAACCUGCUGCCAAGUUCCCUGUUGUUGGAAGGUGACUGUGGGGUUCAGGCAGUGUCAAUGAGAUCAAAGUCCUCAUCUGGGAAAGAUAAGUUUUAAUAGACUUUGGGAGGGACAUAAGGGCAGAUAACUGCACUACUCCAAAGCAUGAGAUCUGGCAUUUGUGUUCCAGUUACUCAGCAUGAAUUUGGCUAACAGCAAAAGAGUUGGUGUACCCGCAGAAACACAUUGGCUUUGGGCACCUCCUGGUACCUUUUGCUAAGGAUGGCAACCUUUUAUCCAAGUAUCUAUCACUGCAUGGUGCCUCUGCCG
Molecule: long non-coding RNA, 4883 nt
Filed under: Sus scrofa (pig)
Lineage: Eukaryota; Metazoa; Chordata; Mammalia; Artiodactyla; Suidae
Description: lncRNA (ENSSSCG00065051317.1)
Source: RNAcentral